CCCAGACUCCUACGGGAGGCAGCAGUGGGGAAUCUUCCGCAAUGGGCGCAAGCCUGACGGAGCAAUGCCGCGUGAACGAAGAAGGUCUUCGGAUUGUAAAGUUCUGUCCUUAUCGAAGAGAGGGUAUAGAGUGAAAAAUGAUAUACUAGGACGGUAGAUGAGGAGGAAGCCCCGGCUAACUACGUGCCAGCAGCCGCGGUAAUACGUAGGGGGCGAGCGUUGUCCGGAAUCACUGGGCGUAAAGGGCGCGUAGGCGGGAUGGCAAGUCAGAUGUGAAAUCCAAGGGCUCAACCCUUGAACUGCAUUUGAAACUGUCGUUCUUGAGUACUGGAGAGGUUGACGGAAUUCCUAGUGUAGCGGUGAAAUGCGUAGAUAUUAGGAGGAACACCAGUGGCGAAGGCGGUCAACUGGACAGCAACUGACGCUGAGGCGCGAAAGCGUGGGGAGCAAACAGGAUUAGAUACCCGAGUAA
This 472-nucleotide ribosomal RNA is filed under the name uncultured bacterium. Its description in RNAcentral is "partial 16S ribosomal RNA". It matches the Rfam family "Bacterial small subunit ribosomal RNA", at positions 330 to 793 of the family's 1533-position model. The record is from RNAcentral.